Molecule: small RNA, 525 nt
Filed under: Staphylococcus aureus
Lineage: Bacteria; Bacillati; Bacillota; Bacilli; Caryophanales; Staphylococcaceae
Description: HMPRFS0000_0901
Source: RNAcentral
AACUUACUAGAGUCGGUACAAUCACAGUCUCAGCUUUUUAUUGUGCAGUAUAUACACAUUUUUAUUUUAGUAUUUAUUUAAAAGUUUCUGCUAAAAAUGAUUCAACUUGCUCAGGUGACUUAGCAUUUGCUGAAUGAAGGUGUGCAAUUUUGUCGCCGUUUUUAAAUACUAGCAAGCUAGGGAUACCCAUAACUUCAUUUUCAACAACUACAUCUUCUAAUUCAUCACGAUUAACAGUAUACCAUUGGUAAUCAUUAUAUUGUUCUACGAUUGGGUCAAUCCAUAAAUCCAUAGCACGACAGUCUGGGCACCAUCCUGCCUCAAAUUUAACAAUUACAGGUGUAUCGCUAUUAAUUACAGAUUUAAAUGAUUCAUUACUUUUGAUUGAUUGCAUUGUAACAACUCCUCUAGAUAGUUUAAUAAUUUUUAUUAUAGCUAAAUUUAUAUCAUAAUAAAAAAUUUUAGCUUCAAAAUGAAAGCCUUUUGCUAUGGAAAAUGAUAUAUUUAUUUUAAAUACAUAAAGGA